This 269-nucleotide long non-coding RNA is filed under the name Lathyrus oleraceus (garden pea). RNAcentral's name for it is "Pisum sativum (pea) long non-coding RNA (PSAT_LNC005231)". The record is from RNAcentral. Lineage: Eukaryota; Viridiplantae; Streptophyta; Magnoliopsida; Fabales; Fabaceae.
AACCCGAAUAUGGUUGCGACGACCAUUAUUCUAUUUUUGAAAGGCUUUAUCGAUAUUUUCCUAUUCCUUCAUUGGGAUAAAUAAAGUUCGAUGGCGACUCUGUUCGAACUAAAUUUUUUCCGCGACCAUCGCGAGGAAUCAUAUUUUUCGAGAUGCGACAAUGGGCAUAUCUUAUUCCACUAUCAAAUUCACUUAUUCCUCAAAAUUCUGACAAACUCAUCCGAUAUAAUUCCUCAACUUCUCAACUUCCUCAACACUACAUGAUUGUU